GCCGGCCUGGCUUCAAUGGCAAAAGCAGCUGCCUGGUACGCAGCAGAUAGAGAUUCGAAUCCUCUGACCGUCCCCA
RNAcentral lists this transfer RNA (76 nucleotides) under Gammaproteobacteria bacterium. Its description in RNAcentral is "tRNA-Thr". It matches the Rfam family "tRNA". Rfam says of the family: Transfer RNA (tRNA) molecules are approximately 80 nucleotides in length. The record is from RNAcentral. Lineage: Bacteria; Pseudomonadati; Pseudomonadota; Gammaproteobacteria.